ACCCGCUGAACUUAAGCAUAUCAAUAAGCGGAGGAAAAGAAACCAACAGGGAUUGCCCUAGUAACGGCGAGUGAAGCGGCAAGAGCUCAAAUUUGAAAUCUGGCCCCCUUGGGGGUCCGAGUUGUAAUUUGCAGAGGGUGCUUUGGCGUUGGCUGUGGUCUAAGUUCCUUGGAACAGGACGUCGCAGAGGGUGAGAAUCCCGUAUGUGGCCGCCAGCCUCCGCCGUGUAAAGCCCCUUCGACGAGUCGAGUUGUUUGGGGAUGCAGCUCUAAAUGGGAGGUAAAUUUCUUCUAAAGCUAAAUACUGGCCAGAGACCGAUAGCGCACAAGUAGAGUGAUCGAAAGAUGAAAAGCACUUUGGAAAGAGAGUCAAAAAGCACGUGAAAUUGUUGAAAGGGAAGCGCUUGCAGCCAGACUUGCCUGUAGUUGCUCAUCCGGGCUCUUGCCCGGUGCACUCUUCUGCGGGCAGGCCAGCAUCAGUCCGGGCGGUUGGAUAAAUGCCUGCUAAAUGUACCUCUCCUCGGGGAGGACUUAUAGGGCAGGCGGCAUACAACCAGCCUGGACUGAGGUCCGCGCAUCUGCUAGGAUGCUGGCGUAAUGGCUGU
RNAcentral lists this ribosomal RNA (604 nucleotides) under uncultured fungus. Its description in RNAcentral is "eukaryotic LSU rRNA". It matches the Rfam family "Eukaryotic large subunit ribosomal RNA", at positions 23 to 641 of the family's 3401-position model. Lineage: Eukaryota; Fungi. The record is from RNAcentral.